Molecule: ribosomal RNA, 479 nt
Filed under: uncultured bacterium
Lineage: Bacteria
Description: partial 16S ribosomal RNA
Rfam family: Bacterial small subunit ribosomal RNA
Source: RNAcentral
GACGAACGCUGGCGGCGUGCUUAACACAUGCAAGUCGAGCGAGGAAGCACCUUCGGGUGUGAAUUAGCGGCGAACGGGUGAGGAACACGUGAGAAAUCUGCCUUCAACACUGGGAUAACUCCGGGAAACCGGGGCUAAUCCCGGAUAUGAAACCUGCGGCCAUCCGCGGGUUUGGAAAGCUUUUCGGUUGAAGAUGAUCUCGCGGCCUAUCAGCUUGUUGGUGAGGUAAUGGCUCACCAAGGCGACGACGGGUAGCCGGCCUGAGAGGGCGAACGGCCACACUGGGACUGAGACACGGCCCAGACUCCUACGGGAGGCAGCAGUGGGGAAUAUUGGGCAAUGGAGGAAACUCUGACCCAGCGACGCCGCGUGCGGGAUGAAGGCCUUCGGGUUGUAAACCGCUUUCAGCAGGGAAGAAGCGAAAGUGACGGUACCUGCAGAAGAAGCACCGGCUAACUAUGUGCCAGCAGCCGCUGUAA